This 253-nucleotide ribosomal RNA is filed under the name uncultured bacterium. Its description in RNAcentral is "partial 16S ribosomal RNA". It matches the Rfam family "Bacterial small subunit ribosomal RNA", at positions 524 to 776 of the family's 1533-position model. The record is from RNAcentral.
UACGGAGGGUGCAAGCGUUAAUCGGAAUUACUGGGCGUAAAGCGCACGCAGGCGGUUUGUUAAGUCAGAUGUGAAAUCCCCGGGCUCAACCUGGGAACUGCAUCUGAUACUGGCAAGCUUGAGUCUCGUAGAGGGGGGUGGAAUUCCAGGUGUAGCGGUGAAAUGCGUAGAGAUCUGGAGGAAUACCGGUGGCGAAGGCGGCUGGCUGGGCCGUGUCUGACACUCAUCCGCGAAAGCGUGGGGAGCAAACAGG